Molecule: unclassified non-coding RNA, 22 nt
Filed under: Chlamydomonas reinhardtii
Lineage: Eukaryota; Viridiplantae; Chlorophyta; Chlorophyceae; Chlamydomonadales; Chlamydomonadaceae
Description: small RNA Cre_2687
Source: RNAcentral
UCGGAGAAGCGGGUAGCUGAGG